AGAAAAGAUAUCUAGAUCUCGAGAAAACUAAGGGCGUGAACGUUGAUAACCUGAAUACAUGCGUAGAUUAUAGUUCCAGUGCUGGAAGGAAAUCUUGUGAGAUUAGAUAUGCAAUUAUUGAGGUUAUUGAUUAUAAAAUUAAACUAAUGUUAACUUAAUAUUUAGAGUUGAGCAGCCGAAUUUGCCUUGUGUUGACUUAUUCUGAAUGAACAGAAACUAGAUAUGUCCAUUUAUCAUCCUCAUCUAUGAAUAUUGUUUCAUUAGCCUUUGUGAUUUAUGGUUUUUCUGAUAGGAUUUGUGAAUAAUGGAAAUAUGUCCAGGAUAACCUCUUUCAUAGGAAGGAAAAUUAAUGUUUAACAAACCUCUGCUAGUGAUAGAUUGAGAUCGUCCGUGAUGGCCGACUGAGUAGGUAAUGAAUAACCUGCCUGAAAACCAACAAAUUAUGACACCUCAGAAUUGCCACCAAAAAAUUCUACUUUUCUGAGAAACUUGUUCUGAAUUUUUGCUUUGGUUUGUAAUGUCUUCAACUGUUUCUUUCAGCUUUAGUGAAACAUGAAAUGAAGUUUGAUUAAAUGAUUGGAACUUACACAGGUUCCAAAUGCAUAAGAACCACACACUGCGACAAAGGUACUAAGGUAAACCAUCCAUUCAUGCUCUGUAGAACUGCUUUUGUGGCUCACAUCUUUGGGACCAUAGCCAUCUUCUUCAUCAGCUCGAGUCUUGUCUUCUGGUAUAAGUGGCUCCCUUAUCUCUUCUUGCAAGCUGUUCUCACCUUGCUCCAAAAAUUAGAGAAUUCAAAUUUAUGGUCAAGAAUUUAGUGGAGAAUUCUAACAAAAGGUUGCAUAUCCGACAUCUCAUCAACAUGCCACUUGGUCCUUGGAUGACUUGCCAAGAAUAGUAGCUUGUACCAUGCAUCAAGGAUCUGCUGUCACCAGCAUGGAUUUUCAUCCUUCUCAUCACACAUUGCUUCUUGCUAGGAUGGUCUUUGAUCAAUGAUUUGAACAUACCACCUAUGAUUUCAAUGGUUGAGCUCCUGCUAAAUAAAUAUAUGAAUUCUUUCUUUUCUUUCCUUUAUUUGACAUAGAUUCUCUUUUAUACAGUUGGUUCUACUACUGGUGAAAUAAUGCUUUAGGAAGUGGGGAUGCAGUAUAAAUUGGUUUCAAAACCAUUCAAGAUAUGGGACAUGGCAAAUUGUUAUAUGUUGCUUCAGGAAGCUGGGUGCUUUUUUGUUGUUCUAAAAUGUGUGCUUGCACCUGUUGCUACUGCUGCUGCUGCAACAUCUGCUCUUCGAAUCCCUACCAUUGGUAUUGGGGCAAAGACUUUUUGUAAUGGCAAAGUUAAUUGAUUCUUUAGCUCUCUCUAACACUCCUAAUAAUGAAUUAGACUUGACUGCUUAUAUUGUAUAUAAUCUUUUUGCUUUCAUUUGUACAUAUACUUUGCUAUUUGAUCUUGUAAUUUGCUUUUCAAGUACUAAAAUGGGCAUUUUAAUGAUAUCGUGUGUUCAUAUAUUGAGUUUACUCAUAUAAUAAACUUUGAAUUUGCUCUCUCUCUCU
This is a non-coding RNA of Camellia sinensis, 1553 nucleotides long. The record is from RefSeq and is a predicted model, not a curated record. NCBI's taxonomy places the organism in Eukaryota, Viridiplantae, Streptophyta, Magnoliopsida, Ericales, Theaceae.